This 187-nucleotide ribosomal RNA is filed under the name uncultured bacterium. RNAcentral's name for it is "partial 16S ribosomal RNA". It matches the Rfam family "Bacterial small subunit ribosomal RNA", at positions 1305 to 1500 of the family's 1533-position model. The record is from RNAcentral.
CUGCAACUCGACUCCAUGAAGCUGGAUUCGCUAGUAAUCGCGCAUCAGCCAUGGCGCGGUGAAUACGUUCCCGGGCCUGUACACACCGCCCGUCAAGCCAUGGAAGCCGGGAGUGCCUGAAGUGUGCAACCGCAAGGAGCGCCCUAAGGUAAAACUGGUGACUGGGGCUAAGUCGUAACAAGGUAAC